RNAcentral lists this non-coding RNA (423 nucleotides) under Brevibacillus borstelensis AK1. RNAcentral describes it as "Bacterial large subunit ribosomal RNA". It matches the Rfam family "Bacterial large subunit ribosomal RNA", at positions 2504 to 2925 of the family's 2925-position model. The record is from Rfam by way of RNAcentral. Lineage: Bacteria; Bacillati; Bacillota; Bacilli; Caryophanales; Paenibacillaceae.
AUCGACGGGGAGGUUUGGCACCUCGAUGUCGGCUCAUCGCAUCCUGGGGCUGAAGUAGGUCCCAAGGGUUGGGCUGUUCGCCCAUUAAAGCGGUACGCGAGCUGGGUUCAGAACGUCGUGAGACAGUUCGGUCCCUAUCUGUCGCGGGCGCAGGAAGUUUGAGGAGAGCUGUCCUUAGUACGAGAGGACCGGGAUGGACGCACCGCUGGUGCACCAGUUGUCACGCCAGUGGCACAGCUGGGUAGCUAUGUGCGGAAGGGAUAAGCGCUGAAAGCAUCUAAGCGUGAAGCCCCCUCCAAGAUGAGACUUCCCACAGCGUUAAGCUGGUAAGACCCCUCAUAGACGAUGAGGUUGAUAGGUUCGGUGUGGAAGCGCGGCAACGCGUGGAGCUGACGAAUACUAAUCGGUCGAGGACUUAUCCAC